GAUGAACGCUGGCGGCGUGCCUAAUACAUGCAAGUCGAGCGAACAGACGAGGAGCUUGCUCCUCUGACGUUAGCGGCGGACGGGUGAGUAACACGUGGAUAACCUAUCUAUAAGACUGGGAUAACUUCGGGAAACCGGAGCUAAUACCGGAUAAUAUAUUGAACCGCAUGGUUCAAUAGUGAAAUACGGUUUUGCUGUCACUUAUCGAUGGAUCCGCGCCGCAUUAGCUAGUUGGUAAGGUAACGGCUUACCAAGGCAACGAUGCGUAGCCGACCUGAGAGGGUGAUCGGCCACACUGGAACUGAGACACGGUCCAGACUCCUACGAGGGGCAGCAGUAGGGAAUCUUCCGCAAUGGGCGAAAGCCUGACGGAGCAACGGCGCGUGAGUGGUGAAGGUCUUCGGAUCGUGAAACUCUGUUAUUAGGGGAGAACAAAUGUGUAAGUAACUAUGCACGUCUUGACGGUACCUAAUCAGAAAGCUACGGCUAACUACGUG
RNAcentral lists this ribosomal RNA (497 nucleotides) under uncultured bacterium. Its description in RNAcentral is "partial 16S ribosomal RNA". It matches the Rfam family "Bacterial small subunit ribosomal RNA", at positions 28 to 507 of the family's 1533-position model. The record is from RNAcentral.